This 212-nucleotide small nucleolar RNA is filed under the name Sorex araneus (European shrew). Its description in RNAcentral is "Small nucleolar RNA U3 (ENSSARG00000014703.1)". It matches the Rfam family "Small nucleolar RNA U3". From Rfam's summary of the family: Small nucleolar RNAs (snoRNAs) are involved in the processing and modification of rRNA in the nucleolus. There are two main classes of snoRNAs: the box C/D class, and the box H/ACA class. The record is from RNAcentral. Lineage: Eukaryota; Metazoa; Chordata; Mammalia; Eulipotyphla; Soricidae.
AGGACUAUACUUUUAGGGAUUAUUUAUAGAUUUUGUUGCUAGAGAAGUUUAUCUGAACAUGUGGAGCACCAGAACCCCCCAGGAGGAGCUGGAGUACCCUCUCCAGAGCGGAAAGCUGGUUCUAGGUGUUACUUCUGCAACUUCCUUGACUAUUGAUGCUUGUUCUUCUCUUCUCUUGGAAGGGGGAGAGGGAGAGAAUGUAGGCUGAGUGG